RNAcentral lists this non-coding RNA (125 nucleotides) under Pteropus alecto (black flying fox). RNAcentral describes it as "Insulin-like growth factor II IRES". It matches the Rfam family "Insulin-like growth factor II IRES". Rfam says of the family: This family represents the insulin-like growth factor II (IGF-II) internal ribosome entry site (IRES) which is found in the 5' UTR of IGF-II leader 2 mRNA. This family allows cap-independent translation of the mRNA and it is thought that this family may facilitate a continuous IGF-II production in rapidly dividing cells during development. Lineage: Eukaryota; Metazoa; Chordata; Mammalia; Chiroptera; Pteropodidae. The record is from Rfam by way of RNAcentral.
ACGACUGGGCAUUGCCCCCAGUUUCCCCCAAAUUUGGGCAUUGUCCCCGGGUCUUCCAACGGGCUGGGCGUUGCCCCCGGACAUUGGGGACUGACGGCCUUCGGGGUCUCGCUCACCUUCAGCGC